Nicotiana tabacum (common tobacco) is the source of this 2085-nucleotide non-coding RNA. Lineage: Eukaryota; Viridiplantae; Streptophyta; Magnoliopsida; Solanales; Solanaceae. The record is from RefSeq and is a predicted model, not a curated record.
AAAUCACACUAAAGCGGACACCCAACUAUGGAAAAGCCUCCUUAAGGGUGGGUUAGGUUAGUCAAUCCGGCCCGAGACGCGUUCGUUGACAAAACCGCCGUAGGAAUUCCUACUUUUCAAUAGAGCGGAGGCGAACUGAUCAACGAGAAAGAGGCCCUACUCACUACAAACGAAUACACCACAAGAUCGAACUGCACUCAUGCCUCUCCCGCAUCAAGUUGACCGCCCCCCUACGUAGUGAUUCUAUCAAUCAUGUACGCAGGUAGGACCCUCCGUUCUGAUUGGUAUAUCAUGAAAAAAGAAAGCCAUUUGCACCGGGCGCACUGCGCUUUCCCUUGCCCAGAUGUUCACCUUUCUAAGUCAAGUAAUGGUGACCCACCGAAGACCGGAGCUUUGUAACAUGUUGACGAAGGCCCCCGAACUGAGGGUUCGGCCAGUAGAAGGGACGACUUUGUCUCCGAGGAAGAAGAAUAGCCCCGCUCUCUAGCCGACUGAUCCCGUUGAUCAUAUAACUGGGAGGGAAUGUGUUGAUGGGUCUCUAGCUUCUCUUUAGUGUAAAUUCAUUGAAAGGUGUAGUGGCUUAUCGACUUGUUUUUAUAACAUAAAAGGAGAUUGAAGAGACUUUUUAGUCAACUUAAUUUUGAAACAUCUUGUGGUUCAGCAUGCCUUAUCCUAAAGCCGACAUACCUAUUUCUUCGAUAAUCAGACUUUUAUCUCCCUAUACAGAAGAAGAUUCAAUAGCAGCAUUAUCGUAGAGAACAAUAUAUUGACAUACCCUUGAUGUAGUAUCCAUAUGAUGUGGAGCGAGUCUAUUUUCACGUGCUUUUGCUUUUCCACCCUCGUUUGCAGUAGUUUCAUUUUGCAUAGCCACAUGAUCUAGUACAUUAUUGUUUAUCCUGAAACAAAGUAUAAAGCAAGCCAUUACAGUUGUAAUGACAAGCAUCUGUAAGUCAAAUGCCCUUUGAGAUGUUACACUGCAAGUCUACCAUCGAGUCCACACAAACUAACAAACUAGUAGAUAAGGAAGUGCUGACAGACAUGGGAAUUGACAUAUUAAAUGCAUCCGAAAAACAGAAUUGACAUGUUGAAAAAAUGUAUGCACGACAUCUGGCAAAUUAGAUGGUCUCAAAAUACCCAAGUUGUUGUGCAUUGCCCGUUUGGGACAUCAAGUAAAGCUGGAACAGCCCCUUUUUUUAACCAACAUUGCACUAGCUAUGACAAUAAGAGUUGGCUUCACAUACCACUUGAACCUUAUGCAUGCAUCCCAAAAUUCACUUACAGAUAUGAAUUUUCUAUAGGAACAUUCAUUGAGGAAGAGGCAUUAUCUUCUGCCGUUGUUGAUAGAGAUGUCGAGCGUUCUGUAGUAGUAGUUGGUGAUACGAGCAGCAUAGCUCCAAUACCAAUCUCAUUAGGAGGAAUAUUUUUGUUCCUGUCAUAAAUUAGAAUAUUUUCAUCAAUGGCUGAUAUAUUCUCAAAGUCUGGUUCCUGUAGAAUAUAAUAAAGUUGCCUCUGGAGUCUUUCAACAGGUGACAAAAUUUGUUGUCUAAGCUCUGAUCUCUUUCUUCUCGGGACACUAUCAGGAUUCCAGAGAGGAUCUUUGUCUGCUUCUCCUAAUAAAAGGUGAACGUUAGCGCAUGCAAAACAAUUAGUUGUCCGAAGAUGAUCCUGCUGAUCCUAAGCUUGAUAUGUUAUUCAUUUCCUCUUCAAGACAAGCUGAAGAGCCAUCCUUUCCAGCAACCUCUGGUUCAACUUCUAGCUUUUGGUCUUCACGAGCUAAGACAUGCGGCUUCAUCUCAGAAGAGCACUGGUCUUUCAGGUGGUCCUGUUCUCCAAAGGGGGGUUUCUGUAUGAGUUUACAAUUCCUUAGUGUUGAAACUUGGUAAAAAAUAUGAAUAUGUUCAUACAGGGAUUGGGGGACCAAAUCUGCAAUUUAUCCUAGAUGACCUUUGCUCCUGUUUGACUAAUGGCUGCUGUACUGGAAAUCAAUUAACAUUUGGCUCGAGAGUCUGCAGGUGGGAGAUGAAGUACAUACACAGGUGGCUGAUAAUUGGAUACAUUUUUCCUAUUUGGCAUGCAUGCCUUAUC